UCCGCUCCCGCCCUACCCUCUUCGUGGAAAAACCACGUUCACCCCAAAAAACCGUGCCCACCCAGAAAAACCUCGCGAACCAUCGGAACACCGAACCGCAACCCUCCUCCGGCAAGCUCCUUCCCCUGGCUCCUCCGUCACCCAGCCGCCGCAUCCGUCUCCCCCACAUCCCCGCCGCUGCUGCCACUUCCACUUCCUUCGUGCCAGGCCCCUCAUCCUCCACUACUUCCUCCUCCUCGCUCCUGCACCGGCGCCGCCGCUGCCGCUCCGGCGCUAGAUCCACGGGCCAAGCGUGUCCUCUAUGCCUUUGGCCUUGGCCCCGUGCGGAUGGGGUCCUAGCGGGGUAGUGGGUGGUCGUGCUGAAGCCCAACCCGUUCAACCCAAACCCUAGCGCGAACAGGGUGAGGGAAUGAGAGGCGGCGGGUUUCGGGGUGGAGGCGGCCGUCGAGGCGACGCUCACGGCAGCGUCCUCGUUCGUACCUGCACCUGCACGCCGCGCACGCGCCGUUCCUGCUGGAUCCAAUUUUGUAGGAUGUCACGAACCCGAAGAUCCGGGCUAUCCAGAUCGAGCUUCACAACCUAUUCCAUGUACCAAUUCCCCACCCCCGCACAAUGGAUCCCGUCAUGAAGCUCCUCGAGGAUGACGAGGACGAGAGCUUGCACUCGGGAGCCAACGUCGAGGCCUUCACGGCGGCGCUCAACCGCGAGGCGUUGAUGGAUUGGGUGUAAUAUCAAGGUGUUGAAGGAGACGUCUCCUCUGAUGCUCAAAGACAAGGCGAUGGAAACAUUGCUGCUGGCUAUGGAGGGUGGUGGAUGAGGUGAUCACUGAUGCAAGCCCCCUCAUGGAGUUAAGGCCCACUCUCGUUUCACAACCAACAAUGCUAUGAUAACUAACGAUGAUUUCUUGCCUCGCACGAACAUUCCUUUGGAAGCCAUGGUCAAGUCACUCUUCUGCUUGCCAUUUCUUUUUUAUGCGGAAGGUGCCUUAUAGACACUUGUAUACCUGAAAGUAUGAUAUUGAGGGAUCCAACGCACCUCUAUGCACCAGGCCAGCUCAACCACAUAGUUGAAAGGAAACCGUGCAGUACAAUGUAUACAAAAGGAUUUGGUCGCGAUCGGGAAGGAACUGCAGAUACUCAUCUGGGUGCAGUUCGAUGUGGCCGUGGCAGCGAAUGAUUUGUCGAAGGGCAUGGAGGCCAGCUGCUAUCUGCUGUCACAGCGUGCGACAGAGAGGGGCAGUCCAGGCUCAUGGGGUUGGAGCUGCUGAAUGGGCUUAACCCCGCUGUUGGUUGAGAAGACCAGGAUGCACACAACCUGAAUCUUCAUGGACAAGUGUAUUGAUGCUGCUCUCUCAUUGUAUUAAUUUGUUUCAGGUUUCAUGGUUAGACGCCUCAUGGGCGCAUGGCGUAAUACAACCUGAUGCGAUACUUCAUGGAGGACCGUGGCCUCUACAAGAUAUGGAUGAAGGAUCUUGCUUACUGCUUUGGUAUAGGUGCGGCGAUCAAAUCGAUCUAUGAAACCAUAUAUAGUUGUUUUUGACUGCUUGCUUGCAUGUAUCGGUAACUAUGUAUACUCAUAUACUUCUCGCUGAUGAUUUUGUCCUUUUUCUUGAUGAUUUAGGAUGGAUUGACCUCUAUCUGGGGUAAUGUUGUUGAGGUAGGUCUGUAUCGACCAUGCCAUAUGCUUGAUCUAAGUGCAAAGUUGCUUUGUCCUACUUGUGCUGGGAGGGAGCCCUCUAACGGACCUAUUGUCAUCUGUUCUGACUUCUUCUCUCUGAUUGCAAUAUGGAUGUUUUGUUUUCUCUUCCUUUUGCUAUAUCAUUUUCCAAAAACUUGCUUUGAUAGUUAGCAAUGAAACUCAUUUGUUUCCAUUUUCUUGGUGCCUCCUCCAGGUUCUUGUUGCAGAUGUCGUGCAUGAGUGCAUCGCACCGGUCGAGCAGCUGUUCGACGCAGCGAAGCGGAGCUCGCGUGUUAGAGCAGCUACAUGUGGCACCUGUAAGAAGUUCUAUGGAAUUCCCUGCUUCCCUACUGCCUGUCUGAGCAUAUCACAGCUGCUGCCAUCCUGGCAGAAAACAAUACAGUUCAUACACUGUCCAAUGGUGUGGUUCAAAAAACCGCCCUUUGCUCUGCUCUAUAAGUAGAUGGCCUGGCCAGCGGCAGAGUAAAAGAAGAAGAAAAAGCCUGGGCAGAGCACAGGCAGAUUGUUGGCGUGAGAGAAGAAGAGGAGUUCGGCCGAAGAGCACUAACAGGCUGCCGGUUUGAGAAGGCUUCUACAUGCCAAGUGUUCGACGCGUGGGAGCUUCUGCGGAAACAAGCGCUCGGCAAAUACAUACAAGCACGGGAGGGCAAAUACUAGGGAGAAAGGAGAGGCUAGUGGAGGAGCGUCAGGGAGAAAGUUGUCGUGUGCGCGUAAAGGUAUUGGAUAAGGUGAUGCUCUCGUCCUCUUCGCCGCCCUCUGAUUUGAUCUGUUGAUACAAAUCAAGGAGCUAGCUAUCCUCCUCCCUCCACUCUCUCUUGGUUUUUGGUUCUCGCCUCUCUUUGAUUUGAUCUGUUGAUACAAAUCAAGGAGCUAGCUAUCCUCCUCUCUCCACUCUUGUUUUCUUGUUCUCGCCUCCCUCUACUUUGAUCUGUUGAUACAAAUCAAGAGCAGGCAUAAUACCUCAUUUGCUGAUUUGGUCCAUUAAUACAAACCAUGUAUGAUAAGAUGUAUGAAGGCCCUAUCUUCGGCUUAGUCA
Molecule: long non-coding RNA, 2734 nt
Organism: Phragmites australis (common reed)
Lineage: Eukaryota; Viridiplantae; Streptophyta; Magnoliopsida; Poales; Poaceae
Exons: 7
Source: RefSeq, a predicted model, not a curated record